UUCGCCCUUAGAGUUUGAUGGUGGCUCAGGAUGAACGCUAGCGACAGGCCUAACACAUGCAAGUCGAGGGGUAACGAUGUAGCUUGCUACAGGCGACGACCGGCGCACGGGUGCGUAACGCGUAUGAAACCUGCCUUAUACUGGGGGAUAACCCGAAGAAAUUCGGAUUAAUACCCCAUAAUAUUAAUCAUUCGCAUGUUUGAUUACUUAAAACUCCGGUGGUAUAAGAUGGUCAUGCGUGACAUUAGCUAGUUGGUGAGGUAACGGCUCACCAAGGCGACGAUGUCUAGGGGUUCUGAGAGGAAGGUCCCCCACACUGGUACUGAGACACGGACCAGACUCCUACGGGAGGCAGCAGUGAGGAAUAUUGGUCAAUGGGCGAAAGCCUGAACCAGCCAUGUCGCGUGCAGGAUGACUGCCCUAUGGGUUGUAAACUGCUUUUAUACGGGAAGAAUGUGACCUACGUGUAGGUUUUUGCCGGUACCGUAUGAAUAAGCAUCGGCUAACUCCGUGCCAGCAGCCGCGGUAAUACGGAGGAUGCGAGCGUUAUCCGGAUUCAUUGGGUUUAAAGGGUGCGUAGGCGGAAGUAUAAGUCAGGGGUGAAAGUUUGUGGCUCAACCAUAAAAUUGCCUUUGAUACUGUAUUUCUUGAGUACAUUUGAGGUAGGCGGAAUGUGUUGUGUAGCGGUGAAAUGCUUAGAUAUAACACAGAACACCGAUUGCGAAGGCAGCUUACUAAACUGUAACUGACGCUGAUGCACGAAAGCGUGGGGAUCGAACAGGAUUAGAUACCCUGGUAGUCCACGCCGUAAACGAUGAUAACUAGUUGUUUGCAAUAGACCGUAAGCGACAAAGCGAAAGCAUUAAGUUAUCCACCUGGGGGAGUACGUUGGCAACAAUGAAACUCAAAGGAAUUGACGGGGGG
This 924-nucleotide ribosomal RNA is filed under the name uncultured Bacteroidota bacterium. Its description in RNAcentral is "bacterial SSU rRNA". It matches the Rfam family "Bacterial small subunit ribosomal RNA", at positions 1 to 920 of the family's 1533-position model. The record is from RNAcentral. Lineage: Bacteria; Pseudomonadati; Bacteroidota.